RNAcentral lists this ribosomal RNA (425 nucleotides) under uncultured bacterium. Its description in RNAcentral is "bacterial SSU rRNA". It matches the Rfam family "Bacterial small subunit ribosomal RNA", at positions 355 to 796 of the family's 1533-position model. The record is from RNAcentral.
UUAGGGAUCUUGCGCAAUGGGCUAACGCCUGACGCAGCGACGCCGCGUGAGGGAGGACGGCCCUCGGGUUGUAAACCUCUUUUCCCGGGGACGAGGAUGGACGGUACCCGGGGAAUAAGCACCGGCUAACCCCGUGCCAGCAGCCGCGGUAAUACGGGGGGUGCGAGCGUUGUCCGGAUUCACUGGGCGUAAAGGGCGCGUAGGCGGCCGAAUCAGUCGGGCUUGUAAGAGCGGGGCUCACCCCCGUAUUUGGGUCCGGGACGGUUUGGCUAGGGCGCGGUAGAGGGGGACGGAAUGCCGGGUGUAGUGGUGAAAUGCGUAGAGAUCCGGCGGAACACCGGUGGCGCAGGCGGUCCCCUGGGCCGAGGCCGACGCUGAGGCGCGAGAGCGUGGGGAGCGAACCGGAUUAGAUACCCCCGUAGUCC